UGGGCGAGCGCUUCUACAAGUGCCGCUACCACAAUGUGAGGGGGGGUUUCUGUGUUUAUGGGAGAGUUUUCGGUUCGGGAUCCUUUUUUGUGAUUUGAUUUGUUUGUCAUCUCACCGUCGUUGCAUCUUUCCGUUGUUGAUCUUCCGCAGCCAUCAGCAGGGGGAUGUGAUUUCUACAGGUGGCAAGAAGCGUACGCCGAGCACCUCGCAUCAAAUCCACAGGCGCAGAUCCAGGCGGCGCAAGUUGGUCAAGGUGCGCAGGCGCCGGUCGGGGCGGAGGGGCACCAGAACGUGGCGCCGGGGGGAUCUCAGUUUGGCUCGUCGGCAAGCGAAGAGCUGUUUUUUGCUACUUGUAAAUGCCAUAUAUGUGGUAGAUAGGAGGUACCAGAUACAUUCAACACUUGUCAGACAACAAUUCUUGAACUAAAUUUUAUACUGCUUAAAUAUGAAAUAUAUGGACCAACUGAUUUGCUGAAUAUUGUAGAUGGAUGGUCCAGGAGAAAAUGUGAUUAGACUCUAAAAGGUGCGGUGAUUUCUUCUUUUUCUAGGAGAUGGACCAAAUGUGGUGGUUGGGACCUUGCAUGAUUCUCAAGGCUCUGUCCGAAACCAAUUUCCCAGGAAUACAGAUUGUAGUAGUCAUAUGCUUCUCCGAGAGAAUCAAAGCUGUCGCCGACAGCAGGAACUACAAUUCUCUUCUUCUCUGCGUAGCAUCUCAACGUUUUUUCAAGUGCGCUUAUUCUGUCCGCGCAUGGAGGACGCUCAAGAGGGGCUCGGCCAAUACGUACUCUGCAACACCCACACAUGGAGCAUCAGUAUGCUACCACCCUGUUUUGUGAACUUUUGAAAUUGCAAGCGUAAUUCGGUUUUUUCCGCCAGCAGCGUGAUACAUGCGCAGUCCUUUUUUUGCAAAAUGAUGUGAAUAUUGCUUUCCAUAAUAAGUCCCAAUAUCAAUACCAUUUUGCCCAGCCAGAGGCUUGGCUUUCGUCUUUGC
This 991-nucleotide long non-coding RNA is filed under the name Triticum aestivum (bread wheat). Its description in RNAcentral is "long non-coding RNA (TAES_LNC002831)". The record is from RNAcentral. Lineage: Eukaryota; Viridiplantae; Streptophyta; Magnoliopsida; Poales; Poaceae.